This is a long non-coding RNA of Trematomus bernacchii (emerald rockcod), 159 nucleotides long. RefSeq lists it as uncharacterized. The record is from RefSeq and is a predicted model, not a curated record. NCBI's taxonomy places the organism in Eukaryota, Metazoa, Chordata, Actinopteri, Perciformes, Nototheniidae. The transcript has 3 exons.
GGAGAGAGUCUGUGAGUGGACCUGGAGAGAGUUCAGCAGGUGGAGGCUCUGCUAUGGAUCAGUGUGAGGACCGAGAGGAGGGAGCCCCCCCCUCUAAAAGCUCUCUGUGUGGGGAACAUGACCACCAGACCAAAGCUCAGAGCCCAGAGCAAACACCAC